Molecule: ribosomal RNA, 220 nt
Filed under: uncultured bacterium
Lineage: Bacteria
Description: partial 16S ribosomal RNA
Rfam family: Bacterial small subunit ribosomal RNA
Source: RNAcentral
GAUGAACGCUAGCGGCAGGCUUAAUACAUGCAAGUCGUGGGGCAGCACAGUCCGCCGAAAGGCGGAUGGGUGGCGACCGGCAAACGGGUGCGGAACACGUACGCAACCUUCCUACAGGCGGGAUAGCCCAGAGAAAUUUGGAUUAAUACCCCACUAAAAUUUUAAAGUAUGGCAUCAUCUUAUUUAUUAAAGCUUCGGCACCUGAAGAUGGGCGGUGCGG